UCCAUUUGCGCAAUUCAAAAUGGCCUUGC
Molecule: small RNA, 29 nt
Filed under: Bombyx mori (domestic silkworm)
Lineage: Eukaryota; Metazoa; Arthropoda; Insecta; Lepidoptera; Bombycidae
Description: ovarian small RNA-7252
Source: RNAcentral